GAUGAAGAACGUAGUGAAAUGCGAUAAGUAAUGUGAAUUGCAGAAUUCAGUGAAUCAUCGAAUCUUUGAACGCACAUUGCGCCCGCCAGUAUUCUGGCGGGCAUGCCUGUCUGAGCGUCAUUUCAACCCUCAGCCCCCGCUCGCGGGGCGCUGGCGUUGGGGAUCGGCCGUCCUCGCGGCGGCCGGCCCCGAAACACAGUGGCGGUCUCUCGCGGACUCCCCUGCGUAGUAGCACUACCUCACAGAAGGGACGAGCGGGCUGACCACGCCGUAAAACCCCCCACUUCUCCAGGUUGACCUCAGAUCAGGUAGGAAUACCCGCUGAACUUAAGCAUAUCAAUAAGCGGAGGA
RNAcentral lists this unclassified non-coding RNA (351 nucleotides) under soil metagenome. RNAcentral's name for it is "partial contains 5.8S ribosomal RNA, internal transcribed spacer 2, and large subunit ribosomal RNA". The stretch from base 1 to 120 matches the Rfam family "5.8S ribosomal RNA", at positions 35 to 154 of the family's 154-position model. The record is from RNAcentral.